This 321-nucleotide ribosomal RNA is filed under the name uncultured Oscillospiraceae bacterium. Its description in RNAcentral is "bacterial SSU rRNA". It matches the Rfam family "Bacterial small subunit ribosomal RNA", at positions 28 to 339 of the family's 1533-position model. The record is from RNAcentral. Lineage: Bacteria; Bacillati; Bacillota; Clostridia; Eubacteriales; Oscillospiraceae.
GAUAAACGCUGGCGGCGCACAUAAGACAUGCAAGUCGAACGGACUUAAUCCAUUCUUUUAGAUUGGAAGCGGUUAGUGGCGGACUGGUGAGUAAAACGUAAGCAACCUGGCUAUCAGAGGGGAACAACAGUUAGAAAUGACUGCUAAUACCGCAUAUGCCAUGAGUAUCGCAUGAUACAAGUGGGAAAGGAGCAAUCCGCUGAUAGAUGGGCUUACGGCUGAUUAGCUAGUUGGUGGGGUAAAGGCUUACCAAGGCGACGAUCAGUAGCCGGACUGAGAGGUUCAACGGCCACAUUGGGACUGAGAUACGGCCCAGACUCC